Molecule: ribosomal RNA, 256 nt
Filed under: uncultured bacterium
Lineage: Bacteria
Description: partial 16S ribosomal RNA
Rfam family: Bacterial small subunit ribosomal RNA
Source: RNAcentral
CGGGACGGAUGAGUAACGCGUGGAAAACCUGCCGUAUACUGGGGGAUAACACUUAGAAAUAGGUGCUAAUACCGCAUAAGCGCACAGCUUCGCAUGAAGCAGUGUGAAAAACUCCGGUGGUAUACGAUGGUUCCGCGUCUGAUUAGCUAGUUGGUGAGGUAAAAGCCCACCAAGGCAACGAUCAGUAGCCGGCCUGAGAGGGUGAACGGCCACAUUGGGACUGAGACACGGCCCAGACUCCUACGGGAGGCAGCAG